UACGUAGGGGGCGAGCGUUGUCCGGAUUCAUUGGGCGUAAAGCGCUUUAAGGCGGUUCGCUAAGUCGGGUGUGAAACCUCCAGGCUCAACCUGGAGACGCCACUCGAUACUGGCGUGACUAGAGUUCGGUAGGGGAUCACGGAAUUCCUGGUGUAGCGGUGAAAUGCGUAGAUAUCAGGAGGAACACCGGUGGUGUAGACGGCUUUCUGGACCGUAACUGACGCUGAGACGCGAAAGCGUGGGAGGCAAACAGG
Molecule: ribosomal RNA, 254 nt
Filed under: uncultured bacterium
Lineage: Bacteria
Description: partial 16S ribosomal RNA
Rfam family: Bacterial small subunit ribosomal RNA
Source: RNAcentral